UAUAAUGUUUGACUAUUCGUCUUAUUUAAAAAAAUUUUGCGAUUAGUAUUUUUAUUUUUACUAGAUGAUAAAACAUGAAUAAUACUUUAUGUGUGACUAAUUUUUAAAGUUUUUUAUAAAUUUUUUAAAUAAGACGAAUAGUUAAACAUUAAACACGAAAAAAC
This 164-nucleotide microRNA precursor is filed under the name Oryza brachyantha (malo sina). RNAcentral's name for it is "MIR812 microRNA precursor family". It matches the Rfam family "MIR812 microRNA precursor family", at positions 27 to 190 of the family's 205-position model. Lineage: Eukaryota; Viridiplantae; Streptophyta; Magnoliopsida; Poales; Poaceae. The record is from Rfam by way of RNAcentral.